CUGGGCUCUCCUCGUCCUAAUUCUGAAGUCUGGGAAUCUGAUUGGCCCAGCCUGGCCUCUGCAGUGGUUCCCUCCAAGGCAGGUGCCCACCUCUGGCCAGUCAGCUGGACGAGGAGGGGCUGGAUGUAUACAACAAAGAUGGGCCUCGUUCUCCUUCACUGCCCACGUUGGGGUCAAAUCGACACUAAUGGACUAAGCAGGUCAGCAAAUUUGAACUUCAGGGGCAACUGGUCUCCCUUCCAAGAUGCGGAUAUUGAGGUCCCCAGAGGAAGAAUCACAUGUCCAAACUCAGAUGGGCUGAUGGAAGGGAAUUAAUGUUUCCCCGAGAACCUGCUACGAGCCAGGCCCGUUCCAUACAAGAACCUCCUUUCCACAGCCCAGCAAGACGCCUUGUUCAUGUUUUCCCCAUUUUACAGAGGAGCCGACCAAAACCCAAACCGGUGAAGGCACAUGCCUGGCGUCCCAGGACUAGUAAGCCCCGAACCAAGAUGUGAGCGUGGAUUUGCCGGGCUCCAGGUCCUGCUAUGCCCCCCUCCCCUCCGUGGUAAAGGCAAGGAAGCAGAGACUCAGAAAGGUUCAAGCUGGGCCAGGGUCAAGUGGCAACGCUUGCUUUCCACCUGGGCCUAACUCCAGAAGUCUUGCCUUUCCUGUGAAACUACAUCAUCUCAAUAAGUUUUGUCGUGAGUAACUGACUGAUACCAAAUGACCACAAAUAUGACUCAAAGACAUACAGACCCAGGACCGAAAGGGACAUGAAUUUUAUUACUGCCACUGUUGACCCUCUUCUUCAUCGCGAAUGUAGGACGGCCGGCAUGGACAUUGUAUGGCUCAGACAUGCCGAAAUAAGACUUGAUUGCUUCUACAACUGAGCCCGACUUGAUCACAGCAACCUUCCCCCCAGUUUUCUUUUUGGGUGAAAGUGGAUUCUCUGCACAACAAUACAAUGCAUGAUCCUGCAUUUUCUUUUGUUACAAAGGACGUUUGCGGGCAACCAGUAAAAUCGGAAGUCAGCCUGUAGCUUAGAUAAUAGUACUGUAGAAUAGUGAUUCCCCAAUUUUAGUAAUUGUUCUGUGGGCAUGUAAGAGGCUGUCCUUGUUUUUAAGAAAUACACGUUGAAGUAGUUAGGAGUAAAGAGGUAUCGUGUCUGUAACUUUUAAAUAUUUCAGAAAAAAACUAUAUAUGCACCCCAGAAAAAUACGCAGAAGGGUAAAACAAAUGUGGUAACAUGUUAUCAUUUGGGGAAUUGGGGUGAAGAAGGGUAUCUUGGAAUUCUUUGCACUAUUUUUGUAACUUUUCUAUAAACCUGAAAUGGUGUCAAAAGCAAAAAAUUUAAAUAAAAAAAUGUAUUCUUGUUCAGUGCGGGGGCCGGGGAGGGGGAGUUGAAUUAGGAUCCAAACUCUGUAUUAGAAUUGCUCCAUCUCUUGGUGGUGCCCACUCCCCACCCCUCAGGAUGACAUCUGGUAGCAGAGCCUUCUGUGACAUCGGGGGCCUGGGCUUCUGGGCUUGCUGGCCCUGCUGGCUGCCUUGCCCUUUUGGGUCUCUGGGGUCAGCCUCACUCCCCAUCACUUCUCUGCUGGCAUAGCUGGUCCAGCCUGGCUCUGGGCCCUGAGCGUGACUUUGCAGUCAUGACCUCUUGGUGUCAAGGCUGUGCCCUCUGAGCCCUUCUCAUCCUGACCCCAAGGCUCUCACAAUCCAUGUCUUAUCAGUGUUCGGAUACGCCCCACUGGAAACUUCUGAUGCUUACCAUGACCCACAAAGGGCUUAGGGGAGUCAGGCCCCCUGUGAGUCAGUCCCAUCAGGAAAACGGAAAUCACAUUGGCUGUUUUCUUAAUAUAAGGAAUUGGCUAAACGGUAUUGGACAAGUGGAAAACCAAACAGUGAGAUAUCAGAGGUAUAACUGCAGGAAACAGAUACCGCCCCUCAGGAUGGGAAGACAGAAGAAGAAGCUGAGAUUAUUAGAACGUAGAAACUGGAGCCCCGACCCCUGACGAGGGCACGCCUCUGGACGGUGCUGAUACUUCCAACAGGCCUCAGUGAGGCUGGUUCUGGGAAUGUGUAAACCAGUUGUUACUGGAACCAGUUGCCACUGCCAGGGUGAAGGGCUGCUGGGAGGUGACGCUGCCACAAGGAAGAGCGAGCAAAAAGCCUCCAAUCCUCUGCCCUGCAUCCAGUCUUGAGCUCUCUAGUGCCCCCUAUGGACACAGUCUGCCAUGGCAACAAAUGUCUCGGGACAGAAGAGAGAUGUGGGUUUGGGGUUAAGAGCUCACAGUUUAUGGGACGCCUGGGUGGCUCAGUGGGUUAAGCGUCUGCCUUCGGCUCAGGUCAUGAUCCCAGGGUCUUCGGAUGGAGCCCCGCUUCAGGCUCUCUGCAG
Molecule: long non-coding RNA, 2371 nt
Organism: Mirounga angustirostris (Northern elephant seal)
Lineage: Eukaryota; Metazoa; Chordata; Mammalia; Carnivora; Phocidae
Exons: 3
Source: RefSeq, a predicted model, not a curated record